Molecule: ribosomal RNA, 299 nt
Filed under: uncultured Syntrophaceae bacterium
Lineage: Bacteria; Pseudomonadati; Thermodesulfobacteriota; Syntrophia; Syntrophales; Syntrophaceae
Description: partial 16S ribosomal RNA
Rfam family: Bacterial small subunit ribosomal RNA
Source: RNAcentral
UUAAGUCCCGCAACGAGCGCAACCCUUGUCUUUAAUUGCCAUCAUUUAGUUGGGCACUUUAAAGAGACUGCCGGUGUAAGCCGGAGAAGGUGGGGAUGACGUCAAGUCCUCAUGGCCUUUAUGCCCAGGGCUACACACGUGCUACAAUGGGCGGUACAAAGAGAAGCAACCUCGCGAGGGUGAGCAAAUCUCAAAAAGCCGUUCUCAGUUCGGAUUGAAGUCUGCAACUCGACUUCAUGAAGUCGGAAUCGCUAGUAAUCGCGGAUCAGCAUGCCGCGGUGAAUACGUUCCCGGGCCUU